Molecule: ribosomal RNA, 513 nt
Filed under: uncultured bacterium
Lineage: Bacteria
Description: partial 16S ribosomal RNA
Rfam family: Bacterial small subunit ribosomal RNA
Source: RNAcentral
AACGAACGCUGGCGGCGUGCCUAACACAUGCAAGUCGAGCGCGAAAAGGGCAACCUGAGUAGAGCGGCGCACGGGUGCGUAACACGUGGGUAAUCUGCCUUAGAGUCGAGGAUAACCUUCCGAAAGGUUGGCUAAUACUCGGUAAGCUUACGGUGUCUUCGGACGCUGUGGGAAAAGUAGGCCUCUGUGUACAAGCUUACGCUCUGAGAUGAGCCCGCGGCCCAUCAGCUAGUUGGCGGUGUAACGGACCACCAAGGCAACGACGGGUAGCUGGUCUGAGAGUACGAUCAGCCACACUGGAACUGAGACACGGUCCAGACUCCUACGGGAGGCAGCAGUGGGGAAUUUUCCACAAUGGGCGAAAGCCUGAUGGAGCAACGCAGCGUGUGUGAUGAAGGUUUUCGGAUCGUAAAGCACUUUCGACCGGGACGAAAAACCUCUGGCUAACAUCCAGGGGCCUGACGGUACCGGGAGAAGAAGCACCGGCUAACUCUGUGCCAGCCGCCGCCGUAA